Molecule: ribosomal RNA, 522 nt
Filed under: uncultured bacterium
Lineage: Bacteria
Description: bacterial SSU rRNA
Rfam family: Bacterial small subunit ribosomal RNA
Source: RNAcentral
AGAGUUUGAUCCUGGCUCAGGAUGAACGCUGGCGGCGUGCCUAACACAUGCAAGUCGAACGGAGACUUAUUGACAGAACUCUUCGGAGGGAAGAUGAUAAGUCUUAGUGGCGGACGGGUGAGUAAUGCAUGAGCAACUUGCCUUUCAGAGGGGGAUAACACAUCGAAAGGUGUGCUAAUACCGCAUGAAAUGACGGGAUCGCAUGAUCCUGUUAUCAAAGGAGCAAUCCGCUGAAAGAUGGGCUCAUGUCUGAUUAGAUAGUUGGUGAGGUAACGGCUCACCAAGUCGACGAUCAGUAGCCGGACUGAGAGGUUGAACGGCCACAUUGGAACUGAGAGACGGUCCAGACUCCUACGGGAGGCAGCAGUGGGGAAUAUUGGGCAAUGGGCGCAAGCCUGACCCAGCAACGCCGCGUGAAGGAAGAAGGUCUUCGGAUUGUAAACUUUUGUCUUAUGGGACGAUAAUGACGGUACCAUAGGAGGAAGUCACGACUAACUACGUGCCAGCAGUCGCGGUAAUACG